Molecule: RNA transcript, 2608 nt
Organism: Hibiscus syriacus
Lineage: Eukaryota; Viridiplantae; Streptophyta; Magnoliopsida; Malvales; Malvaceae
Exons: 2
Source: RefSeq, a predicted model, not a curated record
CCCCUCUGACUUUUGUGUUUAACAGGAACUUCAUCUUCAACUUUAUCUUCUACCAAAGCAUGUGACUGCGAUGAGAUUUCGGAGCUUCAAACCAGCCACGUUCCAAUAUACGUUAAACGCCGCCGUUUUGGUUUCUUACUAGAAGAUCAAUGUUUUGCUUGUUCUACGCUAUCCUAAAGUCUUCAAUUUGACCCAAAGAGCAAUCCAGGGAGAAAUGAUGAAUCUAAAUAAACAAGGAGAGACAAGGUACUUCAGUAAAGUUAAUAUCUCUUCUCAUUUGAGUGGCAACUCGAUAUACGAAUUUAGUUCAGAAUUGAUCCGGUAUACAACUUUUGAUCCACCCCCUUUCCAAGAUGAAUUGAUGGAAGAUGGUGUUCAGAUGUUUACUGCUAGAGAAUUCUUUCAAGUACUUUACCAUUCCCCCGGGUAAUUUUCAAGUACUGCUCCAAAUUACAUGUUCAACAGAAGCUAUAAGAAUCAGAUCCAUGACAAAUUAGGCCCUUUCGUGCUCCGGAAGGAGAUGCAGGCUGCUGAUGGUUCGAGUUUUGACGACGUAAAGCUCAUUUUCCAACAUGUCAAAUGCGAGCAAGAUACUAAUAGACCCGGAAUUGCAAAGGUUUCUUCAGUGCCGAGAGCAUUUACCAAAGGAAGCUUUCAACAUUUGGAAAGAUUAAGAACCGGUCUUUCGGGGUCGACUUUAGCCACUGAGGGUAUAUGGAAUUCUUCUUCUGGACAGCUUUUCAUGGUUGGAUGUCAAGGGACGGUCGAACCAGGGUUCGAAGGAUGUCACUAUGUGAUUGCAAUGUACUUUCCACGUUCAUUUUCCAUUAAGCAGAGAAGCUCCCUAUUUGGAACCAUAUCCAACGUGAAAAAGGAUAUAGCUUUGGACAAUCCCUUAUAUUUUGGUGCAAUGGAAGGCAUUUCCGCAGAGAUAUCACGGAAUAUAUAUAUACCGUACAAUUAUUCCAAGAUCAAUUUGGUCAAUGCGUUUGAGAGUAGAACUCUACCGUAUCAAAUUCUAAACAUUCUCAAGCAGUGGCUCUUCCACUAUCCGGCUCUGAAAGACGUAGAAAAACCGCUUGCUCAGUUGAGCCACUUGACCAAUAAUCUUGCUUUAGAUGGCUAUGUAGUCCCAGAUGAUCAGCCAAUUGCUAGGCCAAAAUCUCGAGUCCUCAUUCAGCUUGAGUUGCUUACUUUAGGUCCAUUAUCUGGAUGGUCUGAACCCAAUUUGUUGAAGGGAAGUCUCAGAAAGAAACCUGCCAUUACAAAAGAUGAUCUCACAAGCUGCAGGUUCUUGAAUGUGUCAAUGCAUCUCGCAUUCAAAACUGAGAAAGAAUACAAGCAAACACCUUACAAAAAUGUCUCAGAAUUGUCCCUGGAAGUCUACAUGAUCCGACUUUAGGUGAGAUGCAUUUGAUUGCAUGUAGGAAGGCUUUGGUUGCGAGUAUUGGCUUAGAACGAGGCCAAGAUUGUCUUAUAUCAGUUAAAAUUCAGGACCCGUCCAGAAACUUACAAUGGUGGCAAAAACCAUUUGCCAAGAUCACCAUCAGCAACCAAAGGAAAGAAGAUGACCGACCCCCUCUACUUUAGCUUGAUUACCAUUCAUUCUCGUUUGACUAAUUAUCCAGAUUAUUUUGAAGUAAUUGCUGGUAAAGCAUUCUUGGAGCCGGUCGUAGGCAUUCUACUGCUCACAGUGUCGAUUGCUCUCAUACGGAACCAGUUCUCAUAUAUGAAGUGGAACCAAAAUCGUACUGAAAACGAUGGAACUCAAGCUUACAACAUGGUUCCUCGCAAUCAUCCUGCAUACAGAACUUUGAAACUUCUUCAAAGUUUCGUGAAGGCUCUUUUCCAUUUGGCAAGACUUUUCCAUACGGAAAGGGACUCUAGAAGCAAGACCCUCUCUCAAAGGUCCUCUACGCAAAGAUGUGGUUCAAGAGAAAAAAGGGUUAUGCUGAUUACCAUGGCUAUAUACGCUUUCGGAUUUCUGAUUUGGUUUGUUGCUGGUUACAAUCCUGAUGUACAAGUACAACAGCUAAAUCCCGAAAAGGACAGGCAUGGACCAAGAAAUGGGCAGAUGUGGCAAACUCAGAUGGGUAUAAUGACGGGUUUUGUUUACUUUGUUCAAGACUACUUUCUGCUUCCUCAGAUUAUUAGCAAUGGAUUGAUGGCAAUGCCUGGUAAAUCCUUGAUGGAAGCCUAUUACCUCGGAUUGACAUCAGUAAGGCUGGUUAUGAUCUUCUUUGACUAUGUAAUGGAUCCUAUUACACAAGCCAAAGUGGAAAAUUUUGAUGUUGACUCGAGUUCAAACUCGAAACGUCUAACGUUCACCAUGGUUCUUGGUCCGUCAACCAUGAUUAUGUGUGCAAUUCGAGUCUAUAUCCAGCAAAACUGGAAACACCAGAAGCAUAGUUAGUCUCCGAAUAGUUUACAAGCAUUGUAAUAUUAUGUAAUGUGUGGUCUUGUCCUCUAAAUUCAUCUUAGAAUCAAUCAGUACCUGCAAAACACAAGUGUUUUUGCUGUCAUUGUUUCGGUUCAAUUGGAUAAUAUGAUUAACCUUGUUCAAGGUUGUAAGGAAUUAUAUUCGGGAGUAGCCCCAAUUGCUUAGGUA